CCUACGGGAGGCAGCAGUGAGGAAUAUUGGUCAAUGGGCGCGAGCCUGAACCAGCCAAGUAGCGUGAAGGAUGACUGCCCUACGGGUUGUAAACUUCUUUUAUAAAGGAAUAAAGUGAGGCACGUGUGCCUUUUUGUAUGUACUUUAUGAAUAAGGAUCGGCUAACUCCGUGCCAUCAGCCGCGGUACUACGGAGGAUCCGAGCUUUAUCCGGAUUUAUUGGGUUUAAAGGGAGCGUAGAUGGGUUGUUAAGUCAGUUGUGAAAGUUUGCGGCUCAACCGUAAAAUUGCAAUUGAUACUGGCAGCCUUGAGUACAGUUGAGGUAGGCGGAAUUCGUGGUGUAGCGGUGAAAUGCUUAGAUAUCACGAAGAACUCCGAUUGCGAAGGUAGCCUACUAAACUGCCACUGACAUUGAUGCUCGAAAGUGUGGGGAUCAAACAGGAUUAGAUACCCCUGUAGUC
RNAcentral lists this ribosomal RNA (460 nucleotides) under uncultured bacterium. RNAcentral describes it as "partial 16S ribosomal RNA". It matches the Rfam family "Bacterial small subunit ribosomal RNA", at positions 338 to 795 of the family's 1533-position model. The record is from RNAcentral.